Neltuma alba is the source of this 469-nucleotide long non-coding RNA. RefSeq lists it as uncharacterized. The transcript has 3 exons. Lineage: Eukaryota; Viridiplantae; Streptophyta; Magnoliopsida; Fabales; Fabaceae. The record is from RefSeq and is a predicted model, not a curated record.
CUUGCAUUGACUCUGGUAUUUAUGAUUUGGCAUUGCAAAUGUUGAAAGAAAAAGGACAACUAGCAUUUGCAACGGAUGAAGAUGGCAUGACAGGUUUACAUAUCAUGGCUCAGACAGCAGAUUUAGGAAGUUAUAGGCCAGAACAUCAAAUUCAACUCACAAGUUCAGGUACGAAGAAUGGUGUUGCCCUUGACCUUGUUCAUCUCCUAUGGGAAAAAAUUCUCAACGGUGUAGACUCAAAGGAAAAUAUGAAGAAACUCAUAAACGAACCAUCAAGACUACUAUUUGAUGCAGCAAAAGUUGGAAACUUUGACUUUUUAGCUACACUUAUAAAGUCUUACCCUGAUUUAAUGUGGCAGUUAGAUGACAAAAGACAAACUAUAAUUCAUAUUGCUGUUUUAUAUCGUCAUCCUAAAAUCUUCAAUCUCAUCCAUGAUAUAAGCGGAAGAAAGGAUAUCAUGUUGUCAUA